ACCCAGUGUUCAUUUGUUAACAUCAAUAAUGUGUGACCACGAAAGGAAACCCUUCUGAAGAUCGAAGAUCCUGCUCGCAGCUAUGCCUCAUUGCCUACCAUGGCCAAAACCUCUUUGAGGUUUACCGUAGUGUUCUCCGUCUGAUUGUUAUGUGUUGAGGAUGAGCUGAAUGUUACUGAUAUUGAUACCUGAUAUCUAAUUGUGGUCAAUGUUUAGUGUAACACCGUGACAUCUUCCAAUGCCAAAGUUUAUUUCCAACGAGCAAAAGCUUAUUUGCAUUGCAAUUACGAGCGGUAGUGUGAUGUGUGGAACGUGUAUAUGUACGAUUGGGA
Molecule: long non-coding RNA, 332 nt
Organism: Amphibalanus amphitrite
Lineage: Eukaryota; Metazoa; Arthropoda; Thecostraca; Balanomorpha; Balanidae
Exons: 3
Source: RefSeq, a predicted model, not a curated record